This 591-nucleotide ribosomal RNA is filed under the name Pichia manshurica. Its description in RNAcentral is "eukaryotic LSU rRNA". It matches the Rfam family "Eukaryotic large subunit ribosomal RNA", at positions 38 to 655 of the family's 3401-position model. Lineage: Eukaryota; Fungi; Ascomycota; Pichiomycetes; Pichiales; Pichiaceae. The record is from RNAcentral.
GCAUAUCAAUAAGCGGAGGAAAAGAAACCAACANGNAUUGCCCCAGUAGCGGCGAGUGAAGCGGCAAGAGCUCANAUUUGAAAUCGUGUUUCGGCACGAGUUGUAGAGUGUAGGCGGGAGUCUCUGUGGAGCGCGGUGUCCAAGUCCCUUGGAACAGGGUGCCUGAGAGGGUGAGAGCCCCGUAGGGUGCUGCGCGAAGCUUUUGAGGCCCUGCUGACGAGUCGAGUUGUUUGGGAAUGCAGCUCCAAGCGGGUGGUAAAUUCCAUCUAAGGCUAAAUAUUGGCGAGAGACCGAUAGCGAACAAGUACUGUGAAGGAAAGAUGAAAAGCACUUUGAAAGGAGAGUGAAACAGCACGUGAAAUUGUUGAAAGGGAAGGGUAUUGGGCUCGACAUGGGGGGUGCGCACCGCUGUCUCUUGUAGGCGGCGCUCUGGGCGCCCUCUGGGCCAGCAUCGGUUCCUGCUGCGGGAGAAGGGGCUCCGGAAAGUGGCUCUUCGGAGUGUUAUAGCCGGGGCCAGAUGCCGCGUGUGGGGACCGAGGACUGCGGCUUCUGUCUCGGAUGCUGGCAUAACGGCGCAAUACCGCCCGUCUU